CUGGUUGAUCCCGUCAGUAGUCAUAUGCUUGUCUCGAAAGAUUAAGCCAUGCAUGUUUAAGUACAUGCCGUAUUAAGGCAAAACCGCGAAUGGCUCAUUAAAUCAGUUCUACUCGUAGUUCCUUGGAUCGUACUUUAUUACUUGGAUAACUGUGGCAAUUCUACAGCUAAUACAUACAGCAGAGCCCCGACCCUCUGGGGACGAGCACUUUUAUUAGACCAAAACCAAUCGGACCUCGUGUCCGUAUUAUGUAAUCACUCUGUAUAAUUUUGGGCUGAUUGCACGGGCUCGACUGGGUGACGUAUCUUUCAAGUAUCUGCCUUUCAGCUGGUAGGUGACGCGCCUACCAUGGUCGUAACGGGUGACGGGGAAUCAGGAUUUGAUUCCGGAGAGGGAGAUUGAGAAACGGCUACCACAUCCAAGCAAUUCAGCAGGCGCGCAAAUUACCCACUCCGAGAACGGGGAGGUAGUGACGAAAAAUAACAAUACGGGACUCUUUUGAGACCCCGUAGUUGGGAUAAAUACACUCUAAAUCCUUUAACUAGGAUCAAUUGGAAGACGAAGUCGAGGCUGCUAGGGAUUCAUUUUUUUUAUGGCCACCCUCUACUUUGACUUGUGUGUAAGUAUGAGAUUUGAAAUCUCCUUGUAGUCUGUACU
Molecule: non-coding RNA, 657 nt
Filed under: Stegodyphus mimosarum
Lineage: Eukaryota; Metazoa; Arthropoda; Arachnida; Araneae; Eresidae
Description: eukaryotic small subunit ribosomal RNA
Rfam family: Eukaryotic small subunit ribosomal RNA
Source: Rfam by way of RNAcentral